This 428-nucleotide long non-coding RNA is filed under the name Ananas comosus (pineapple). RNAcentral describes it as "long non-coding RNA (ACOM_LNC006132)". The record is from RNAcentral. Lineage: Eukaryota; Viridiplantae; Streptophyta; Magnoliopsida; Poales; Bromeliaceae.
CAACUAUAUUUCAAUUGCAAUAAUAUACAGAUCUAAAUUCGAUAUUUGAUUUGAUGUAUUUUAAUUCAAUUAUUACAGUUGGAACUGCAGUUGGAGCUGAAUGAGGAUACCCAACUGUAACAAUUUGAAUUACGUUCAAGUUGGUCGCACUUCUAACCACAGUAAUUGGAGAGAGUAACUUAAAAAAAAGGUUUACGUUCCUAAUUGGUUUUUAAAUUAAAAUAUUUAAAUUUUAUAUUAGAAGUAAUCUUCUCAUUACGUAUAUAAAGUAAUAAAAUUUUACAAAUAUAAUUUUCAACUACACAUAAUCAAAUAAAUUAUUUAUAGUUAUAAAACUAAAUAAUAAGAAAAAAAAAAUUUUAGGAAAAAAUAGCACGUUGCAUGCUUCAUUCAUUAAAAGUAUGAAUUAAGCAAUAUGGGUUAUGUAA